AGGUUACUGCUAUCGGUGUUCGCCUAAGCCAUGCGAGUCAUAUGUUCUUCGUGAACAUGGCGUACUGCUCAGUAACACGUGGAUAACCUGCCCUUGGGUCCGGCAUAACCCCGGGAAACUGGGGAUAAUUCCGGAUAACGCACAUAUGCUGGAAUGCUUUAUGCGUCAAAUGGAUUCGUCCGCCCAAGGAUGGGUCUACGGCCUAUCAGGUAGUAGUGGGUGUAAUGUACCUACUAGCCUACGACGGGUACGGGUUGUGAGAGCAAGAGCCCGGAGAUGGAUUCUGAGACAUGAAUCCAGGCCCUACGGGGCGCAGCAGGCGCGAAAACUUUACAAUGCGGGAAACCGUGAUAAGGGGACACCGAGUGCCAGCAUCAUAUGCUGGCUGUCCGGGUGUGUAAAAUACACCUGUUAGCAAGGGCCGGGCAAGACCGGUGCCAGCCGCCGCGGUAACACCGGCGGCCCGAGUGGUGAUCGUGAUUAUUGGGUCUAAAGGGUCCGUAGCCGGUUUGGUCAGUCCUCCGGGAAAUCUGACGGCUUAACCGUUAGGCUUUCGGGGGAUACUGCCAGACUUGGAACCGGGAGAGGUAAGAGGUACUACAGGGGUAGGAGUGAAAUCUUGUAAUCCCUGUGGGACCACCUGUGGCGAAGGCGUCUUACCAGAACGGGUUCGACGGUGAGGGACGAAAGCUGGGGGCACGAACCGGAUUAGAUACCCGGGUAGUCCCAGCCGUAAACGAUGCUCGCUAGGUGUCAGGCAUGGCGCGACCGUGUCUGGUGCCGCAGGGAAGCCGUGAAGCGAGCCACCUGGGAAGUACGGCCGCAAGGCUGAAACUUAA
This 839-nucleotide ribosomal RNA is filed under the name uncultured archaeon. RNAcentral's name for it is "bacterial SSU rRNA". It matches the Rfam family "Archaeal small subunit ribosomal RNA", at positions 21 to 859 of the family's 1478-position model. The record is from RNAcentral.